GUUUCUGUGGCGCAAUCGGUUAGCGCGUUCGGCUGUUGACUGAAAGGUUGGUGGUUCAAGCCCACCCAGGGACG
This 74-nucleotide transfer RNA is filed under the name Danionella translucida. It matches the Rfam family "tRNA". Rfam says of the family: Transfer RNA (tRNA) molecules are approximately 80 nucleotides in length. Their secondary structure includes four short double-helical elements and three loops (D, anti-codon, and T loops). RNAcentral also lists the same sequence under 1 other name. The record is from Rfam by way of RNAcentral. Lineage: Eukaryota; Metazoa; Chordata; Actinopteri; Cypriniformes; Danionidae.